Molecule: ribosomal RNA, 273 nt
Filed under: uncultured bacterium
Lineage: Bacteria
Description: partial 16S ribosomal RNA
Rfam family: Bacterial small subunit ribosomal RNA
Source: RNAcentral
UACGAAGGGGGCUAGCGUUGUUCGGAUUUACUGGGCGUAAAGCGCACGUAGGCGGAUCGUUAAGUCAGGGGUGAAAUCCCAGAGCUCAACUCUGGAACUGCCUUUGAUACUGGCGAUCUCGAGUCCGGAAGAGGUGAGUGGAACUCCUAGUGUAGAGGUGGAAUUCGUAGAUAUUAGGAAGAACACCAGUGGCGAAGGCGGCUCACUGGUCCGGUACUGACGCUGAGGUGCGAAAGCGUGGGGAGCAAACAGGAUUAGAAACCCCCGUAGUCC